UACGAAGGGUGCAAACGUUGCUCGGAAUUAUUGGGCGUAAAGCGCACGUAGGCGGCUUUGCAAGUCGGAUGUGAAAUCCCUCGGCUCAACCAAGGAAGUGCAUCCGAAACUGCAGAGCUUGAGUACCAAAGAGGAUCGCGGAAUUCCCGGUGUAGAGGUGAAAUUCGUAGAUAUCGGAAGGAACACCAGUGGCGAAAGCGGCUUCCUGGUCCAGCACCGACGUUCAGGCACGAAAGCGUGGGGAGCAAACAGG
Molecule: ribosomal RNA, 253 nt
Filed under: uncultured bacterium
Lineage: Bacteria
Description: partial 16S ribosomal RNA
Rfam family: Bacterial small subunit ribosomal RNA
Source: RNAcentral